Molecule: long non-coding RNA, 845 nt
Organism: Eriocheir sinensis (Chinese mitten crab)
Lineage: Eukaryota; Metazoa; Arthropoda; Malacostraca; Decapoda; Varunidae
Exons: 4
Source: RefSeq, a predicted model, not a curated record
AGGUGUUAAAUAUGGUUGUUUUCCUUACUCUCAUGAGCUGCGACCCCACCCCUCCCAUUGUGCCAUUCCUGAGUGAGUGACAUAAACCCUAACAUAGCCCUGAUCUGUUUCCUGACCAUAAACUCUCAGGUGGGUUGUGGGCCUUGGAGGUGUUAGAUAUGGUUGUUUUCCUUACCCUCAUGAGCUGUGACCCCACCCCUCCCAUUGUGCCAUUCCUGAGUGAGUGACAUAAACCCUAACAUAGCCCUGAUCUGUUUCCUGACCAUAAACUCUCAGGUGGGUUGUGGGCCUUUGGGGGUGUUAGAUAUGGUUGUUUUCCUUACCCUCAUGAGCUGUGACCCCACCCCUCCCAUUGUGCCAUUCCUGAGUGAGUGACAUAAACCCAAACACACCACACCCCUGAUCUGUUUCCUGACCAUAAACUCUUAGGUGGGUUGUGGGCCUUUGGGGGUGUUAAAUAUGGUUGUUUUCCUUACCCUCAUGAGCUGUGACCUCACCCCUCCCAUUGUGCCAUUCCUGAGUGAGUGACAUAAACCCUAACAUAGCCCUGAUCUGUUUCCCCAAGUGAGUCAGAUUGUAGACCAAGGCAUCACCUGUCAAUCAGUUUAAUUGCAUGGCCAUGAGAAGUGCACUCAGACUUACACUUCCAAGUUAAAACAUUCGAGUGGAAGCUUAUUCUACUUGAGUAUGAAAUGGCAUACGAGGUACCAACUUCAAAUUAUUUUAGUGUCUUUUUGAGAUAACUGCAGUGUUGAUUUAUUAUUCAGAGGCUUUCUUCAGUAUCAGACCUCUCUUUCGGCCACUCCUUACUUUUGUCUGUUAUGGGAGCAGUGAGUAACAGGAUU